This 66-nucleotide transfer RNA is filed under the name Neotoma lepida (desert woodrat). It matches the Rfam family "tRNA". From Rfam's summary of the family: Transfer RNA (tRNA) molecules are approximately 80 nucleotides in length. Their secondary structure includes four short double-helical elements and three loops (D, anti-codon, and T loops). The record is from Rfam by way of RNAcentral. Lineage: Eukaryota; Metazoa; Chordata; Mammalia; Rodentia; Cricetidae.
GAGAGUAUAGCUCAGUGGUAGAGUGCUUGCCUAGCAUGCAUGAAGCCAUAGAUUUAAUUAAUUUCA